GAAAGAUGGUUUCGGCUAUCGCUUACAGAUGGGCCCGCGGUGCAUUAGCUAGUUGGUAGGGUAAUGGCCUACCAAGGCAACGAUGCAUAGCCGACCUGAGAGGGUGAUCGGCCACACUGGGACUGAGACACGGCCCAGACUCCUACGGGAGGCAGCAGUAGGGAAUCUUCCGCAAUGGACGAAAGUCUGACGGAGCAACGCCGCGUGUAUGAAGAAGGUUUUCGGAUCGUAAAGUACUGUUGUUAGAGAAGAACAAGGAUAAGAGUAACUGCUUGUCCCUUGACGGUAUCUAACCAGAAAGCCACGGCUAACUACGUGCCAGCAGCCGCGGUAAUACGUAGGUGGCAAGCGUUGUCCGGAUUUAUUGGGC
Molecule: ribosomal RNA, 370 nt
Filed under: Listeria monocytogenes
Lineage: Bacteria; Bacillati; Bacillota; Bacilli; Caryophanales; Listeriaceae
Description: bacterial SSU rRNA
Rfam family: Bacterial small subunit ribosomal RNA
Source: RNAcentral